Molecule: transfer RNA, 72 nt
Filed under: Thalassospira xiamenensis
Lineage: Bacteria; Pseudomonadati; Pseudomonadota; Alphaproteobacteria; Rhodospirillales; Thalassospiraceae
Description: tRNA_Gly_TCC
Rfam family: tRNA
About the family: Transfer RNA (tRNA) molecules are approximately 80 nucleotides in length. Their secondary structure includes four short double-helical elements and three loops (D, anti-codon, and T loops).
Source: RNAcentral
GCGGGUGUAGCUCAGGGGUAGAGCACUGGUUUUCCACACCAGGUGUCGCGGGUUCAAAUCCCGCCGUCCGCU